Molecule: ribosomal RNA, 438 nt
Filed under: Streptomyces griseus
Lineage: Bacteria; Bacillati; Actinomycetota; Actinomycetes; Kitasatosporales; Streptomycetaceae
Description: bacterial SSU rRNA
Rfam family: Bacterial small subunit ribosomal RNA
Source: RNAcentral
GUUUGAUCCUGGCUCAGGACGAACGCUGGCGGCGUGCUUAACACAUGCAAGUCGAACGAUGAAGCCUUUCGGGGUGGAUUAGUGGCGAACGGGUGAGUAACACGUGGGCAAUAUGCCCUUCACUCUGGGACAAGCCCUGGAAACGGGGUCUAAUACCGGAUAACACUCUGUCCCGCAUGGGACGGGGUUAAAAGCUCCGGCGGUGAAGGAUGAGCCCGCGGCCUAUCAGCUUGUUGGUGGGGUAAUGGCCUACCAAGGCGACGACGGGUAGCCGGCCUGAGAGGGCGACCGGCCACACUGGGANUGAGACACGGCCCAGACUCCUAUCGGGAGGCAGCAGCGGGGAAUAUUGCAGCAAUGGGCGAAAGCCUGAUGCAGCGACGCCGCGUGAGGGAUGACGGCCCUCCGGGUUGUAAACCUCUUUCAGCAGGGAAGAAG